Molecule: ribosomal RNA, 465 nt
Filed under: uncultured bacterium
Lineage: Bacteria
Description: partial 16S ribosomal RNA
Rfam family: Bacterial small subunit ribosomal RNA
Source: RNAcentral
CCUACGGGAGGCAGCAGUGGGGAAUAUUGCGCAAUGGGCGAAAGCCUGACGCAGCGACGCCGCGUGAGGGAUGAAGGCCUUCGGAUCGUAAACCUCUGUCAGCAGGGAAGAACGGUCACUGUGCUAAUCAGCAGUGAAUUGACGGUACCUGCAAAGGAAGCACCGGCUAACUCCGUGCCAGCAGCCGCGGUAAUACGGAGGGUGCGAGCGUUAAUCGGAAUUACUGGGCGUAAAGCGCUCGUAGGCGGUAUGUCAAGUCAAGGGUGAAAUCCCCGCGCUCAACGUGGGAACUGCCUUUGAAACUGGCAAACUGGAGUGUGUGAGAGGAUAGUGGAAUUCCAGGUGUAGGAGUGAAAUGCGUAGAUAUCUGGAGGAACAUCAGUGGCGAAGGCGACUAUCUGGCACAUAACUGACGCUGAGGAGCGAAAGCGUGGGUAGCAAACAGGAUUAGAUACCCUGGUAGUC